GACGAAGGUGGCAAGCGUUGUUCGGAUUCACUGGGCAUAAAGGGCGCGUAGGCGGUUCCGAAAGUGGCAUGUGAAAUCCCCCGGCUCAACCGGGGAAGUGCGUGCCAAACUUCGGUGCUAGAGGGCGGUAGGGGGGACUGGAACUCUCGGUGGAGCGGUGAAAUGCGUAGAUAUCGAGAGGAACACCGGUGGCGAAGGCGGGUCUCUGGACAGUUCCUGACGCUGAGGCACGAAGGUCAGGGGAGCAAACGGG
This 253-nucleotide ribosomal RNA is filed under the name uncultured bacterium. RNAcentral describes it as "partial 16S ribosomal RNA". It matches the Rfam family "Bacterial small subunit ribosomal RNA", at positions 524 to 776 of the family's 1533-position model. The record is from RNAcentral.